This 501-nucleotide ribosomal RNA is filed under the name uncultured bacterium. Its description in RNAcentral is "partial 16S ribosomal RNA". It matches the Rfam family "Bacterial small subunit ribosomal RNA", at positions 30 to 523 of the family's 1533-position model. The record is from RNAcentral.
AUUGAACGCUGGCGGCAGGCUUAACACAUGCAAGUCGAGCGGGGGAAGGUAGCUUGCUACCGGACCUAGCGGCGGACGGGUGAGUAAUGCUUAGGAAUCUGCCUAUUAGUGGGGGACAACAUCUCGAAAGGGAUGCUAAUACCGCAUACGUCCUACGGGAGAAAGCAGGGGAUCUUCGGACCUUGCGCUAAUAGAUGAGCCUAAGUCGGAUUAGCUAGUUGGUGGGGUAAAGGCCUACCAAGGCGACGAUCUGUAGCGGGUCUGAGAGGAUGAUCCGCCACACUGGGACUGAGACACGGCCCAGACUCCUACGGGAGGCAGCAGUGGGGAAUAUUGGACAAUGGGGGGAACCCUGAUCCAGCCAUGCCGCGUGUGUGAAGAAGGCCUUAUGGUUGUAAAGCACUUUAAGCGAGGAGGAGGCUACUCUAGUUAAUACCUAGGGAUAGUGGACGUUACUCGCAGAAUAAGCACCGGCUAACUACGUGCCAGCCGCCGCGGUAA